RNAcentral lists this long non-coding RNA (632 nucleotides) under Callithrix jacchus (white-tufted-ear marmoset). Its description in RNAcentral is "lncRNA (ENSCJAG00000069718.1)". Lineage: Eukaryota; Metazoa; Chordata; Mammalia; Primates; Cebidae. The record is from RNAcentral.
UGCCUUUGCUUGCAUUUUGUUAUUGUUUUGUUCUCUCUCUUAUCUCCCAGUAGCUAUUUCCCAAGACUCACUGAAUUCAGAUGUUGGCAACUUCCUGGCAGGAGCUGCCUCUGAUUUCUGGUUCUUUCAUUCCAUCAACACUGUUGGGGAGGCUACUUGGACCAGGCACUGUUCUAGGCAUUAUGGACAGAUCAUGAGUGAAAUGAAAGGAGUCCCAGACCCAGCUGGGUGGAGGUGACAGUGAUGAAGAAGUCACAUGUUGGUUGACAACUGCUGUGAACUGGCAACCGGCACCAUAGAAGGGACUGACUGGCAGCUGUACCUGACCUGAAUUUGGGGAGCUGUAAGGAAGGCCGCUGGGAUGGAGGGAUGGCCCAGUUUAUCCUGAGUAGAGCCCAUUCUUAGGAACCGCAAGAUAAAAUGGAAAAUGUCAUCUAGCCUGGAGAAAAAUGGACUCUCGCUCUUGGCCUCCCAAUAAUGGUCUGAUCCAAUCCACAUCCUCUGCAACCAUGUUUCUUCCUGCUUAGAAGAAAAGGGAUGAAAAGGACUUUUCUGCAGUCAGGCAGACCCGUGUCAACUGCGAGGUGAUCUCAGGUAGAUUGCAUGGCUUCUCUCAGUUUCGGUUUUCUUGU